Molecule: long non-coding RNA, 154 nt
Organism: Xenopus laevis (African clawed frog)
Lineage: Eukaryota; Metazoa; Chordata; Amphibia; Anura; Pipidae
Exons: 2
Source: RefSeq, a predicted model, not a curated record
AAGGAUACGCUGUACCACAUUACUUCCUCCUGCUGAGAACAAGUCGGUAAUGCAGAUUGCUGAUGUAAAGUAUGCUAACAAACAGAUUCGAACAGAAAAUAAUCUCCUGAAUGCAGCACUGCCAGAAAACAUGCCAGGUGCAAAGAAAAGAUGG